RNAcentral lists this long non-coding RNA (1173 nucleotides) under Macaca nemestrina (pig-tailed macaque). RNAcentral's name for it is "lncRNA (ENSMNEG00000046164.1)". Lineage: Eukaryota; Metazoa; Chordata; Mammalia; Primates; Cercopithecidae. The record is from RNAcentral.
GCCCGGGCGCCUCGUGCGUGUCCGCGAGCUCGCGUGCGCGCGUCACCUCGGCCCCCAACAUGGCUUGAGGGCGGCCCUACCCGCGCCGCCCUAGUGCUGCGAAGGGCCUGGGAGCCCAAACCCGGAACCGCCACCUGGGACUGGGAAGACGACAUGGCCAGAAGUCGAUCACUGAUAGCAUGGAACUGCCCCUUUCUGGGGAGGUAGGGUACACAGAGGGCAGCCACCUCGAAAGAGAAGACAGCGCUCUCCAAGCCGCUUCAAUCCUCAACACAGCCAGCCUAUUGCCGGCCAGUCUUCAUCUGGAGCCCAAGCCCCUGCCACUGCGAAGUAUUUCCAGGCUCAGGCCACUGUGGGCACUGGGGGAGUCACAUUUCUGACCUUCUGGCUUGAAUAUAGUCCUCCAUACAGUCAGACUCCGAAUGGACUGCGUUUGAGGUGAGCUCAACUAUAAAUCGAGCAAUACAAUUCUGUGCAAUGGAAAGACAGCAAGUUUGGAGGCGUGUGUGUGUGUGUGUGUGUGUGAGAGAGAGAGAGAGAGACAGCGAGAGAGAGAGAAAGGUGUGGAGGAGGCGGCAGCUGGGGUGAUGCCAUGCUUUGUUUUUGGAACAUUAUUAUUUUCUCUUCUUUCCCUAAAGAACAGCACUUUAAAAAUCAAUUAUUUAACUCUGAAAGAGCCCCAUGGCAUUUUAACUGUAUAAAAUUAGUCAUGAUGACAUUAAAUCCUGAUUCGGGAACCUAGCCGAUCAAACCAUUGUGCUCCUCCGGAAUGGCUGGAAUAAGAACACUACCUUGGCAGACAUCUCCGCAGUGAUUAACACUUAUGUCAUCCUGAAGCAGUGAUUACUUUACAUCUGAUCUCAGUGUGAUCCCGCCUGCAAAUUUCCCAAGGAAGGAAAAAAAAAAAAGAUUCUGCAAUAUUGUCAAAAAUAAUGCUAUUGUCAGAAGUAAUGGUCUCUGAAAGUCGUAUUUCAUAUUUAGUACAAUUUUUUUGGCUUCCUCUGAGUGCAAACACAGAGAAAGUGAAUUAGAGUAACCUCGCUAUAUUUUAGCUCCAGUCUCUAAGGCAAAAUGUACCUCUCAGAGCUAUUUAUUAUUUUAUUUCUUACUGGCUUUUUAUGUUGAGAGAAUGAAGGGUAAAGUAAAAGAGGUUUUAACAUUUCAUGGCUCUGU